Long non-coding RNA from Mesocricetus auratus (golden hamster), 657 nucleotides. RefSeq lists it as uncharacterized. NCBI's taxonomy places the organism in Eukaryota, Metazoa, Chordata, Mammalia, Rodentia, Cricetidae. The transcript has 4 exons. The record is from RefSeq and is a predicted model, not a curated record.
UGAAGAUAGGGGAGUGGUUAGAAUACUUGCUCUACAGAGUGUGGGGACCUCAGUGUGAAGAAGCCCCAGAACCCAUGGGAAGGCUGGACACCCCAGCGCACACCUGUGAUAUCAGAACUCUCUGGAAGCAGGAAAGGCGGUGGACACAGGGAAAACACCUGGGACUCAUGGGCCAGGUAACCUGGCCUAUGUGGUGUCAAAUCCUGCACCCUGCUUCAAACAAGGUAGAAGGAACUACGAUUCUCUAACAAAACAUCCCUUCAAAAGUGGGGAAGAAAUUAAGAAACUCCCAGAGAUGAACAACGAGUUAAGGGAUUUCAGGAGAAGAGCAGGCGGCACCCUGGGGCUUGGGAAGCUUUUCUCUAAUGGAGUUGAUGACAAAGCCCAUGGGAAAAAGGGAAGACAGCAUCCGACAGUGAUCUGAACAGCGAACGAACUGGCUGACAGGAGAUGUUUACCAGUUCCUAAUAACAGCUUACCAGAUGUCGAUUAAAGCAACACAUUGCAGUCUGGAGGUGGGAACAAACUGGAAUCCAGCCGUCGGCUGUUGAGCCACACAAUGAAAAUACUGUAAAAUGUAAAACAGUGCCCUCUUUUCGCUGAUUUCUAACAGUGUAAUUUUUCAUGUGAUGGAGUUAUUAUUUUGUAAUAUAGUAA